AAUAGAUACCCCGGUAGUCCACGCCGUAAACGGUGGGCACUAGGUGUGGGGACCAUUCCACGGUCUCUGCGCCGCAGCUAACGCAUUAAGUGCCCCGCCUGGGGAGUACGGCCGCAAGGCUAAAACUCAAAGGAAUUGACGGGGGGCCCGCACAAGCGGCGGAGCAUGCGGCUUAAUUCGAAGCAACGCGAAGAACCUUACCUAGGCUUAACAUGCAGGGAAAUCUGGCAGAGAUGCCAGGUCCUUCGGGGCCUUGCACAGGUGGUGCAUGGCUGUCGUCAGCUCGUGUCGUGGGAUGUUGGGUUAAGUCCCGCAACGAGCGCAACCCUCGUUCUAUGUUGCCAGCGGUUCGGCCGGGGACUCAUAGAAGACUGCCGGGGUCAACUCGGAGGAAGGUGGGGAUGACGUCAAGUCAUCAUGCCCCUUAUGUCUAGGGCUGCACGCAUGCUACAAUGGUCGGUACAAAGGGCUGCAAUACCGUAAGGUGGAGCGAAUCCAAAAGCCGGCUCAGUUCGGAUUGGGGUCUGCAACUCGACCC
Molecule: ribosomal RNA, 538 nt
Filed under: uncultured bacterium
Lineage: Bacteria
Description: bacterial SSU rRNA
Rfam family: Bacterial small subunit ribosomal RNA
Source: RNAcentral